Molecule: ribosomal RNA, 254 nt
Filed under: uncultured bacterium
Lineage: Bacteria
Description: partial 16S ribosomal RNA
Rfam family: Bacterial small subunit ribosomal RNA
Source: RNAcentral
UACGUAGGGUGCGAGCGUUAAUCGGAAUUACUGGGCGUAAAGUGUGCGCAGGCGGCUUCGCAAGCUCGAGUGUGAAAUCCCCGAGCUUAACUUGGGAAUUGCGCUCGAAACUACGGAGCUGGAGUGUGGCAGAGGAAGGUGGAAUUCCUGGUGUAGCAGUGAAAUGCGUAGAUAUCAGGAGGAAUACCGAUGGCGAAGGCAGGUCUCUGGGCUGACACUGACGCUCAUGCACGAAAGCGUGGGGAGCAAACAGG